GAGCGAGAAAGUGGCUUCGGCCAUCAGUAAAGCGGCGGACGGGUGAGUAACACGUAGGUAAUCUUCCCUUGAGCGGGGGACAACGUUCCGAAAGGGACGCUAAUACCGCAUACGUUCUCCGAGACUCCGGUCUUGGAGAGGAAAGCUAGGUAGCAAUAUCUGGCACUCGAGGAGGAGCCUACGUCGCAUCAGCUAGUUGGUGGGGUAACGGCCUACCAAGCCUGUGAUCCGUAGCUGGUCUGAGAGGAUGAUCAGCCACACUGGGACUGAGACACGGCCCAGACUCCUACGGGAGGCAGCAGUGGGGAAUAUUGGACAAUGGGCGCAAGCCUGAUCCAGCAAUGCCGCGUGAGUGAUGAAGGCCUUAGGGUUGUAAAGCUCUUUCGGCGGGGACGAUGAUGACGGUACCCGCAGAAGAAGCCCCGGCUAACUUCGUG
This 437-nucleotide ribosomal RNA is filed under the name uncultured bacterium. RNAcentral describes it as "bacterial SSU rRNA". It matches the Rfam family "Bacterial small subunit ribosomal RNA", at positions 64 to 507 of the family's 1533-position model. The record is from RNAcentral.